GUGGGGAAUCUUGCGCAAUGGGCGAAAGCCUGACGCAGCCAUGUCGCGUGAAUGAUGAAGGUCUUAGGAUUGUAAAAUUCUUUCACCGGGGACGAUAAUGACGGUACCCGGAGAAGAAGCUCCGGCUAACUUCGUGCCAGCAGCCGCGGUAAUACGAAGGGGGCUAGCGUUGCUCGGAAUUACUGGGCGUAAAGGGCGCGUAGGCGGACAGCUUAGUCAGAGGUGAAAGCCCAGGGCUCAACCUUGGAAUUGCCUUUGAUACUGGCUGUCUUGAGUUUGGGAGAGGUGAGGGGAACUCCGAGUGUAGAGGUGAAAUUCGUAGAUAUUCGGAAGAACACCAGUGGCGAAGGCGACUCACUGGCCCAAUACUGACGCUGAGGCGCGAAAGCGUGGGGAGCAAACAGGAUUAGAUACCCGUGUAGUCC
This 425-nucleotide ribosomal RNA is filed under the name uncultured bacterium. RNAcentral's name for it is "partial 16S ribosomal RNA". It matches the Rfam family "Bacterial small subunit ribosomal RNA", at positions 354 to 796 of the family's 1533-position model. The record is from RNAcentral.